Molecule: ribosomal RNA, 765 nt
Filed under: uncultured bacterium
Lineage: Bacteria
Description: bacterial SSU rRNA
Rfam family: Bacterial small subunit ribosomal RNA
Source: RNAcentral
AGAGUUUGAUCCUGGCUCAGGACGAACGCUGGCGGCGUGCUUAACACAUGCAAGUCGAACGGGAGUAUCAAAGAAGCUUGCUUUUAAGAUACUUUAGUGGCGGACGGGUGAGUAACGCGUGAGGAGCUGUCCUAUGCAGGGGGACAACAGUUGGAAACGACUGCUAAUACCCCAUAAGCCGAGAGGUAAAAGGAUUUAUCCGGCAAAGGAGGUACUCGCGUCCUAUCAGCUAGUAGGUGAGGUAACGGCUCACCUAGGCGAAGACGGGUAGCCGGCCUGAGAGGGCGAACGGCCACACUGGAACUGAGAUACGGUCCAGACUCCUACGGGAGGCAGCAGUGGGGAAUAUUGGGCAAUGGGGGCAACCCUGACCCAGCGACGCCGCGUGGGUGAAGAAAUCCUUCGGGAUGUAAAGCCCUGUUGUAUGGGAAGAGCAGAAGACGGUACCAUACGAGGAAGCCCCGGCAAACUACGUGCCAGCAGCCGCGGUAAUACGUAGGGGGCAAGCGUUGUCCGGAAUUACUGGGCGUAAAGCGCACGCAGGCUGAAUUAUAAGUCGGUAGUAAAAGGCGGGGGCUCAACUUCCGUAUAUCUAUCGAUACUGUAAAUCUAGAGUAUGUGAGAGGGAAGCGGAAUUCCCGGUGUAGCGGUGAAAUGCAUAGAUAUCACGCAGAACUCCGAUUGCGAAGGCAGCUUACUAAGCUACAACUGACACUGAAGCACGAAAGCGUGGGGAUCAAACAGGAUUAGAUACCCUGGUAGUCG